Molecule: long non-coding RNA, 273 nt
Filed under: Setaria viridis
Lineage: Eukaryota; Viridiplantae; Streptophyta; Magnoliopsida; Poales; Poaceae
Description: long non-coding RNA (SVIR_LNC009629)
Source: RNAcentral
UGAGUUUUAAAAUAUUGGGAAACUUAUUAUUGGGGAUCUGCUGCGGGGUGUGAUGAUUUUGGGGAAAAAAAUUUAGUAGAGCCCCCAAUACAUAGUUUUGGUGAAGAAUUUUUUGGGAACUCUUGAAGAUGCUCUUAGAGGAACACCAAGAGUCUACAAAAAAAAAUCUCCCCCAAAAAUAUCUAUUGGGGGCUCUACUAAAAAAUUAUUCUCCCAAAAUCAUGUCAUCACAAAACAAAUCCCCAAUAAGAAACUCCCCAGUACUUCAAAACU